RNAcentral lists this transfer RNA (119 nucleotides) under Psilocybe cubensis. It matches the Rfam family "tRNA". Rfam says of the family: Transfer RNA (tRNA) molecules are approximately 80 nucleotides in length. Their secondary structure includes four short double-helical elements and three loops (D, anti-codon, and T loops). Further hydrogen bonds mediate the characteristic L-shaped molecular structure. tRNAs have two regions of fundamental functional importance: the anti-codon, which is responsible for specific mRNA codon recognition, and the 3' end, to which the tRNAs corresponding amino acid is attached (by aminoacyl-tRNA synthetases). tRNAs cope with the degeneracy of the genetic code in two manners: having more than one tRNA (with a specific anti-codon) for a particular amino acid; and 'wobble' base-pairing, i.e. permitting non-standard base-pairing at the 3rd anti-codon position. Lineage: Eukaryota; Fungi; Basidiomycota; Agaricomycetes; Agaricales; Agrocybaceae. The record is from Rfam by way of RNAcentral.
GGUGAGAUGGCCGAGCGGUCUAAGGCGCCAGACUAAGGUACGACCAGGACAUUUGAUGUCCUCGCAGCUUCUGCGUAAUCUGGUCUUUCGGGGCGUGGGUUCGAAUCCCACUCUCAUCA